GAAGGUGGCCUGUGAGGGUUGCUGGAGGUAUCAGAAGUGCGAAUGCUGACAUAAGUAACGAUAAAGCGGGUGAAAAGCCCGCUCGCCGGAAGACCAAGGGUUCCUGUCCAACGUUAAUCGGGGCAGGGUGAGUCGACCCCUAAGGCGAGGCCGAAAGGCGUAGUCGAUGGGAAACGGGUUAAUAUUCCCGUACUUGGUGUUACUGCGAAGGGGGGACGGAGAAGGCUAUGUUGGCCGGGCGACGGUUGUCCCGGUUUAAGCGUGUAGGUGUGUGUUCCAGGUAAAUCCGGUUCACUUUAACACUGAGGCGUGAUGACGAGGCACUACGGUGCUGAAGCAACAAAUGCCCUGCUUCCAGGAAAAGCCUCUAAGCAUCAGGUAACAUCAAAUCGUACCCCAAACCGACACAGGUGGUCAGGUAGAGAAUACCAAGGCGCUUGAGAGAACUCGGGUGAAGGAACUAGGCAAAAUGGUGCCGUAACUUCGGGAGAAGGCACGCUGACACGUAGGUGAAGUGAUUUACUCACGGAGCUGAAGUCAGUCGAAGAUACCAGCUGGCUGCAACUGUUUAUUAAAAACACAGCACUGUGCAAACACGAAAGUGGACGUAUACGGUGUGACGCCUGCCCGGUGCCGGAAGGUUAAUUGAUGGGGUCAGCGCAAGCGAAGCUCCUGAUCGAAGCCCCGGUAAACGGCGGCCGUAACUAUAACGGUCCUAAGGUAGCGAAAUUCCUUGUCGGGUAAGUUCCGACCUGCACGAAUGGCGUAAUGAUGGCCAGGCUGUCUCCACCCGAGACUCAGUGAAAUUGAACUCGCUGUGAAGAUGCAGUGUACCCGCGGCAAGACGGAAAGACCCCGUGAACCUUUACUAUAGCUUGACACUGAACAUUGAGCCUUGAUGUGUAGGAUAGGUGGGAGGCUUUGAAGUGUGGACGCCAGUCUGCAUGGAGCCGACCUUGAAAUACCACCCUUUAAUGUUUGAUGUUCUAACGUGGACCCGUGAUCCGGGUUGCGGACAGUGUCUGGUGGGUAGUUUGACUGGGGCGGUCUCCUCCUAAAGAGUAACGGAGGAGCACGAAGGUUGGCUAAUCCUGGUCGGACAUCAGGAGGUUAGUGCAAUGGCAUAAGCCAGCUUGACUGCGAGCGUGACGGCGCGAGCAGGUGCGAAAGCAGGUCAUAGUGAUCCGGUGGUUCUGAAUGGAAGGGCCAUCGCUCAACGGAUAAAAGGUACUCCGGGGAUAACAGGCUGAUACCGCCCAAGAGUUCAUAUCGACGGCGGUGUUUGGCACCUCGAUGUCGGCUCAUCACAUCCUGGGGCUGAAGUAGGUCCCAAGGGUAUGGCUGUUCGCCAUUUAAAGUGGUACGCGAGCUGGGUUUAGAACGUCGUGAGACAGUUCGGUCCCUAUCUGCCGUGGGCGCUGGAGAACUGAGGGGGGCUGCUCCUAGUACGAGAGGACCGGAGUGGACGCAUCACUGGUGUUCGGGUUGUCAUGCCAAUGGCACUGCCCGGUAGCUAAAUGCGGAAGAGAUAAGUGCUGAAAGCAUCUAAGCACGAAACUUGCCCCGAGAUGAGUUCUCCCUGAGACUUAAAGUCUCCUGAAGGAACGUUGAAGACGACGACGUUGAUAGGCCGGGUGUGUAAGCGCAGCGAUGCGUUGAGCUAACCGGUACUAAUGAACCGUGAGGCUUAACCUUACAACGCCGAAG
Molecule: ribosomal RNA, 1707 nt
Filed under: Salmonella enterica subsp. enterica
Lineage: Bacteria; Pseudomonadati; Pseudomonadota; Gammaproteobacteria; Enterobacterales; Enterobacteriaceae
Description: bacterial LSU rRNA
Rfam family: Bacterial large subunit ribosomal RNA
Source: RNAcentral